AAAGCAGGCCGGGCAGUCGCCGGUGGGUUCGCCCCACGGGAGGAAAGUCCGGACUCCACAGGGCAGGGUGCUGGCUAACGGCCAGGCGGUGAAGGGAACGCGCGAUGCGGAGCAAUCUGCGCCGCGCCGGGCACCGAAGCCGACGGACAGUGCAACAGAGAACAGACCGCCGAUGGCCGCGCAAGCGGCACAGGCAAGGGUGAAACGGUGCGGUAAGAGCGCACCGCGCGGCUGGUGACAGGCGCGGCACGGCAAACCCCACCCGGAGCAACUUCAAAUAGGCAGGCCAUGCAUCGGCCCGGUGCGCCUGCGGGUAGAAGGCUUGAGCGGCGCAGCAAUGUGCCGCCUAGAGGAAUGACUGCCGGACGCGCGCAAGCGCGCCGCACAGAAUCCGGCUUACAGGCCUGCUUUGCAG
This 415-nucleotide RNase P RNA is filed under the name beta proteobacterium AAP99. RNAcentral describes it as "Bacterial RNase P class A". It matches the Rfam family "Bacterial RNase P class A". Rfam says of the family: Ribonuclease P (RNase P) is a ubiquitous endoribonuclease, found in archaea, bacteria and eukarya as well as chloroplasts and mitochondria. The record is from Rfam by way of RNAcentral. Lineage: Bacteria; Pseudomonadati; Pseudomonadota; Betaproteobacteria.